GCCGGUGGCUUGUUCGGGUGCUCAUGAGAUGCUCAGUAGUCAGUGUAGAUCCUGUGUCACAAUCAGCAGCUACAUCUGGCUACUGGGUCUCUGAUGGCAUUUUCUGCU
Molecule: microRNA precursor, 108 nt
Organism: Danio rerio (zebrafish)
Lineage: Eukaryota; Metazoa; Chordata; Actinopteri; Cypriniformes; Danionidae
Gene: dre-mir-222a
Product: dre-mir-222a
Source: Ensembl